GAACUUCCGGGCGAGCACGGCGGCGGGGCAGAGUGGGGCGUGCGGUGCCCCCUGCUGGCUGGAGGGUAGCAGUAACGAACACCGCUACAGGUUCCUGGGAAAAAAUGAACCUCUUGCAGACCUAGGUGGAGACCUGACCUGAAGGAAAUGUACUGUGCACUCAGAAUGCAAAGGGAGAAAAGAGAUGUAAGGGGAACAAUACUGCCACCCCAUGCAAGAAGUCACCAAUCCCUGGUGCCCUUGACCCCCAUCUCUGUGGCUCAGACUACCUCCGUGGCCCUGCUGUGCGCUCUGACUCUUCAUCACUGCAAGACAAACUGCACCAGAGCUCGGACUUCUCCAGGGGAUGUAACACCAAUAGUGCAAUUAGGAAGUGUGGAACUGCUGUCCUCUACUUACCUGAGCCUGGUCAUCACCCCAGGACCAACCUUUCUGACUUUGGUCCUAAGGCCCGCUACCUUGAGACAGGGAUAAAAAUAGAACUACCCCAGGAAGUUUCAAGUUCCAGACCAGGAGGCAUGGAUGCCAGACGUGCCAGCGUGACCUACAAUAGCCUUCCUUCACCUGGAGCUCCUUGAAGGUUCCUGCAUGUGGAUGGCAUCACAGGCACCCGAUUAUAACAGAGUGAAUUCUGGGAAAGGACAUGUGCAGUAGCCUCAGCACUCUGAUGGUCACACUGUGCAUCAUGCCCUGAAAGACCCAGUGGGCACCGCCUUUCACCUGGCACAUUCUAGAUAUUUGUACCCCCCCACCCCGCCUUCAGUGCUUCCUGCUGGAGUGUCCUCAGAGCGUACCAUCAUCUUAUUAAACUCUGCUGCUGUUCCCUUCCUUACCUUUGCGGGCCACUUCUAAUUUUUCACCCCAAACACUUGAGCCUCAAACCCGUGAGCUAGAAACCCAUUUGCGAUGCAUCGCCUGUGGUAACACCAGAACAGUAUGCAGCACCCUCUGUAGGACUGGCCUUGGGGUCAGGUGAUGCACAGGAGCAGGAGUUAAUGCACACGGAGAGCACACACCUGACUGACCCACGUGGAAUCAGUGUUCAAGCGCUCCUCAGAAGUGUGCUUUACAUGGAUGUCAGGUGGGAUUUAUAAGAAUGAAGAUUUCUGCAGGUGGUGUUAUUGAUGGCUGAUGGAGGAUUCACCAGACACUGGGAAUUGGAAGUACUUCUGAAAAUCCCUCUCUUCCCUUGAAAGCACUAUAAAUUUACAGGUAAUCUUGAAUUCACAAGCAAGCCUUUUAUGCAGUAAGUUGAUAGCAAAUACAUAAUUGAAGAGACAUAUAAUUACCUUAAAAAUCUACCACAGUAAGAAAUGUGUUACAGUGGCUACAUUAUCAUUUAAUUUUAUGAUAGUAAAAAUAUCGUAACUUUUUCUUCUUUAUUUUCUUCCUUUGAAUUUUAUCUUGUAUCCUCAUGUACAAAAGAAAAAACCAGACUAUUUGUAAAUAAGUAUCUCAGACUGUGCAGGAAGCCCCAAAGUUUUCUAGUUACAUAAAAAUCAGAUUUUGAUGAGCAAGAGAAAGGGGAGUUUUAGCGUUCCUUUCUGAACACAUGGAAGCAGCAACCACGGAACUGUCUACCUUUGAGGAGAAUAGGCCUGACCUUUGUGGACUCCUCUUGACCAGACCUGGAUAGGAGAGGAUGAGCCGGAUCUGAGCUGCAUAGACAGGAGCCUUUCAGCUGUAGGUUAGUUUUCAGCUUGCCCAGUUCAAGGGUACUUUAUGUCUGUCUCUGACUCUUUUCAGUAUUUACAUCUACCAAGCAACUACAAAACCAUGUAUCUAUGUCUGCACCAUAGCUAUAUUCAUAGAAAGAAUGAUAUUGCAGUAUCUCUAACAUCAUAGCCAUUUUUUACCCCUAAUCCUUUUUAUUUUUAAUGAACUAAUUAUAAGUAAAACAAAAAAUAAACAAGUUUUUUUUUUUGAUAAAUGGAAAGGGAGGGGGCCAAGAGAUGGAGGGAAGUGAGGGGAGGUGGUUAAAAGUUAAGAUGCAUUUGUACAUGUGCUAGCUCCACAUGAAGAAUGUGAUCAUUAUGUACUACAACAAGUUGUAAUUAAAAAAACUGGAAAAAGAUUUUUAAAAAUGGAUUUUGUGGUAUUAAGGAUCAACUCCAGGGCCUUUGUAUUGAAUUAUAUUUCCAGCCCUCUUUUGGUUUUUUAUUUUGGGAUAAGGAAUUGCUAAGUUACUUGCCUGGGUUUGAACUUGUGAUUAUACUGUGUUAGGCUCUAAAGUUGCUGGCAUGUUCAGGCCAGCAUCAUAGCCAUUUUGUAACUAUUUUGUCUCUGUAUAUCUACAUAACCUUAUGUUUAUGUCAGUAUCUGUAACUACAUCCAUGUCUGUAACUCUCUUAUACACAUAGCAUUUAAUGCUGAGAAUCUUUCUGGUGCUGCUUUGCACUCUGUCUCUCUCCUGUUGAAUCCAAAAGGAGCGGAAAAAGAGCGCUCUUCACUUGAAGCUGAUGUCUGCAACUUGCAGUCAGCUGUGCUAUUUAUUACCUGUGAAAUCCUGGAUAUGCUAUUGGAUCUUAUUGUUUCUUCAUCUGUAAUUGUGAAUUUACACAACAGAUCACACGUGCAGUGUGGUUCCUUAUCAUCUGUUCACAUUAGGAGCACCUGAGGAUACAGGAGGAGGAAGGAGUCUGGCCACCUGCUCUCCAGCUCUCAGAAGGCUGUGCAUGGAUGACUGCUAAGUGUGCAUGGUCUCAGAGCCUCUAUUUUCUCAACUGUAAGGGUGUCAGUCCACUCUACUGGAAGACAUAGCCUUAGCCAGCCACCAGGAGGCUGAGGUAGAAGGAUCGCAAGCAUGAGACUAUUCUGACAACUUAGAUCCUGUUUCAGAAUAAAAAAUAAAAAGGGUUGGGGAUGUAGCUCAGUGGUCAGGUGCUUGCUUGGCAUGUGCAGAACCCUGGGUUCAAUCCCCAGUACUGAAAAGGAAGGACGGAAGAAGGAAGGGAGACAGAGCUCUAAGAUCUGUAUCAAAUCCAAAUCCACAGUUAAAGAGAAUUUUAAGUAGGACUUAAAAGAUCACCUUUGGUCUUAAAUAUUUUGAUACUCUAAUAUAUGACCGGCAGCUUCUCUGAGCUUCAGUGUUGCUGUAGCGCCCCCUGGCUGUACUUGGGCUCACAGACAUCAUCUUUCUGUCUCAUUCUGUGACAGCGCUGGUGUAGCCCUGGUUAAAUAAAUAAUGCCUUCUGCACAAGCUAUAUUUCCCAGCAGGCACUAUCUGGGUGGCUUCUGCACUGGUGUUUCAAGUGUGCAGGGUAGAGUGCCCUUUGCUUGAUCAGAAAACUUCUUGCAGAAGUGACAAGCAUCUGUUGGAAGAGUCAUUUCCCAGCACCAUCUACGCGAAGUUACAGUUGUGACCUCUGCCCUUCCAGAAUGACAACUGAGAAAGACAACAGAACUCCCAGUGUGUAAUGUCACAGGAAGAAAUCAGAUACAACACUGGGUUCUAUAUUUGUGUGUGUUUGUCUUGCUGCCUUGAACAGUCACAGAAAACUUCCUGAAGGUCACUCUUCAGCAGUGAACCAACCCUACCUGAGCUAGUGCUUUUCUGACCCUCCCAGGUUGCACGACUUCAUCAUGUCCCAUGUCAGAUGUUCAGAUCCACUCCCUGAGCGUCCUUUAGGUCCUGGAGGUUUGUUAACAUGUUUAUAGUGAGCACAGGGCAGUGUGCUGGGCAUGCCUGCAGCAUCUCCUGCUUUUGAAGUCUGUUGCAGUAAUGACUCCGCAGACUUCCUGAGUGGAAUGGUCUUAGCAUGCUCACUGGUAAUGGGUUUAAAAUGCUGUAAAGGGACAGGAUGGUUAGGAGCACCACAGUGCUGGUGCAAUCUUUGGUGUUUCCUCCCCUUCCCCUGGAAGUAUAAUUAAAAAGCUGGUGUAAAAAGUUUGAGUCCAGCCCCCAUUUUAGAGCCCUCAUUCUCUCCUAGGAUGGUUUAUGGACAGCUCCUCACUGGAACAGUUUUCUGGUCAGUUUCUGAACUUGGCUUUGGGCCUCUCACUUCAAGGGGACUGAGUAGUGCUGGGACUUCUCCAUCCCUUCAGGUUAACAACAUGACAGGAAGGGUUCAUUGCACCCCUUUGGUGCUCACAAGGAAAGCCAGGUCUGCAACUCCUGCAAGACAUAUCUUCUGUGCUGUCUGACACAUUCCUCCUGCUGCCUCCUUGAUACUGUGCCUGCUGGGGCCAAUUGGUUCUGCAUCCUUUGUUUUACUUCCUGCCAUUCACAUUCAGCAUACCACCAGCUAGGAAGCUGAUCCUCUGGAAGUCAGAUUUUUUUUAAAGACAGGAUAUCACUAAUAGAAUUUUUGGCGCGGCCAGAAAGGUAAGAAAUAUGAAAUAAAAGUGGCCUUUAUUUUAAGAAUGCGGAAAGAGACUCCAUGACCUCAGGGGUCUGGCUUUCUCUCUGCUGGACAUGUGUGGGGGCAUACAUGUAGCUUGGGUUUGGGGUGGAGCCUAAGGGGCAUUACUGAUGCACAGGUAGCCCAUUGGAAUUCAUUUCAUGCCACAGGUAAAUUACUUAGGGAUGGGAAAGAUGACCUUUUGCCUCUCAGUGCCACCUACCACUACAGCUUCUCAUUUAGGGCAAAAUCCUUUCAAUCACUACAUAGCCCAGGCUGGCCUUGAACUCGUGGCAACCUUUACCUUUCUGCCUCGGUCUCUCAAGUGCUGGGAUUACAGUAUUCACCACAAUGCCUGACUAGAGGUGGGUUUUACUUUAAAAAAUUAUUAUUUUAAAAAAGACUAAAAUAAAACAGAAUAAAGCCAACCAAAAUGAAACAGCAUAAAUGACAGAGAACCUCAAAACAGGAAACCAACAAUUGUUGCUAUGAUGCCACUUGCCAUCUUCCAAAUUGCUGCCCAUACCAUUAGACACAAUAAAACCAAACAAAUCAGAACACUGAAUAAAACAAAACAGUAAAACAGAAAAAGACAGUGAGAAUAUUUGAUUUCAAAAACAAGACAGAAGGAAAUCCCCCACAGUUGCUGUAUUGCACAUUGUUAUUUUUUUUUUUUUCAUAUUGUUAUUUUCUUAGACUACUGGCUUUAGGCCUGCAAAGUCAAUCAAACAAUAUAAGCAUCAAGUUGUUUUUGUGCUUCUCUUGCUAACAACUCAGUCUGUGAUCCUCCAAAUCAGAUUGUUGCUGGGGGGAGGGUGCUUGUCUCCCAGCCUGCAUCCCUGCUGGCUCAUGGGAAGGACAAACUGGCUUCUUGUUUCUUUUCCUGGCCCUACCUGACUGCUGCUGGCUCACAGGAAGGGUGCAGAAGGUAGAUUCUGAAUCACAGAAUCACACUCUGGGAGGAGUUUUUGAGUUAUGCUGGUGUGUGUGUGAAUGAUGUCUGAAUACAUGCCUCACCUUGACGCUGGUGUGAUCUUGCUCUUUGCCAUAGUUACUUUUUUCUCAUUACUGAGACAAAAUACCCAACACCCAAAGUUAAAGUGGGAAAGGUUUAUUUAGCUUACAGAAGACAGCAGAAGCAACAAGAGCAAAAGGGGAGGAGCAAAUCUCUUUUACUCCCUUAUAUUGCAAGCAGACUACCCACCUUAGGAUAGAUGUAGUACUCACAUCCCCCAAUCCUAGUAUUAGGCAAUGAAUCAAUUGCAAACUCGGAGAUUUAGUGUUUCCAAAAAGCCCACACCUCGUGACAUGAGGCUUUGAGAGGACAUCCAGACAUAAACCAUAACACUCUCCUAGACACCUGGAUGCACUGCUGUGUGUUCUGCAGCCACAGCUUCUUGCCAUCAGUAAACUGAGCCAACCAUAGCCAUACCAUGGUGAUAGACCUGGGUUCUAAUCACACACCCGUUUUUUUUUUUUUUUUCUUUUUUUCUACAAAAA
This is a long non-coding RNA of Cavia porcellus (domestic guinea pig), 5840 nucleotides long. RefSeq lists it as uncharacterized. The record is from RefSeq and is a predicted model, not a curated record. NCBI's taxonomy places the organism in Eukaryota, Metazoa, Chordata, Mammalia, Rodentia, Caviidae. The transcript is spliced from 4 exons.